ACAGGAGGUCAUUGAAGCCAGCUUCAGAAAAAGCUUCUAGUGAAAAUCAUACAGUAACCGUACCGAAAAUGGACACACAUGGGUGAGAGAGAAUCCUAAAGGUGAGCGAGGAGAACUAUAGCUAAGGAACUCUGCAAAAUGACUCCGUAACUUAGGGAGAAGGAGUGCUCAUAGAGAUAUGAGCCGCAGUGAAACGGCACAAGCGACUGUUUACCAAAAACACAGCUCUAUGCUAAGUCGAAAGACGACGUAUAUGGGGUGACGCCUGCCCGGUGCUGGAAGGUUAAGAGGAUGUGUCAGCGCAAGCGAAGCACUGAAUUGAAGCCCCAGUAAACGGCGGCCGUAACUAUAACGGUCCUAAGGUAGCGAAAUUCCUUGUCAGGUAAGUUCUGACCCGCACGAAAGGCGUAACGAUUUGGGCGCUGUCUCAGCUGUAGACUCGGUGAAGUCUUAGUACCUGUGAAGAUGCAGGUUACCCGCGACUAGACGGAAAGACCCCAUGGAGCUUUACUGUAGCUUGAUAUUGGACUUUGAUGCAGGAUGUACAGGAUAGGUAGGAGACUGAGAGACAUGCACGCCAGUGUGUGAGGAGUCGCUGUUGGGAUACUACUCUUCCUGUAUUGGAGUUCUAACCGGAUGCCAUAAGCUGGCAACGGGACAGUGUCAGGUGGGCAGUUUGACUGGGGCGGUCGCCUCCCAAAGAGUAACGGAGGCGCCCAAAGAUACCCUCAGCUUGGAUGGAAAUCAAGCGCAGAGUGCAAAGGCAAAAGGGUGUUUGACUGCGAGACCAACAAGUCGAGCAGGGACGAAAGUCGGGCUUAGUGAUCCGGCGGUGCUGAAUGGAAAGGCCGUCGCUCAACGGAUAAAAGCUACCCUGGGGAUAACAGGCUGAUCUCCCCCAAGAGUUCACAUCGACGGGGAGGUUUGGCACCUCGAUGUCGGCUCAUCGCAUCCUGGAGCUGAAGUCGGUUCCAAGGGUUGGGCUGUUCGCCCAUUAAAGCGGUACGCGAGCUGGGUUCAGAACGUCGUGAGACAGUUCGGUCCCUAUCUGUCGUGGGCGUAGGAAGUUUGAGAAGAUCUGUCCUCAGUACGAGAGGACCGGGAUGGACAUAUCAAUGGUGCACCAGUUGUCACGCCAGUGGCACAGCUGGGUAGCUAAAUAUGGAAGGGAUAAACGCUGAAGGCAUCUAAGUGUGAAACCCACUUCAAGAUGAGACUUCCCAUUACGCAAGUAGGUAAGACCCCUUAAAGACGAUAAGGUUGAUAGGUCAGGAGUGUAAGCAUGGUGACAUGUUCAGCGGACUGAUACUAAUAGGUCGAGGACUUAACCU
Molecule: ribosomal RNA, 1331 nt
Filed under: Thomasclavelia spiroformis DSM 1552
Lineage: Bacteria; Bacillati; Bacillota; Erysipelotrichia; Erysipelotrichales; Coprobacillaceae
Description: bacterial LSU rRNA
Rfam family: Bacterial large subunit ribosomal RNA
Source: RNAcentral